AGGACGAACGCUGGCGGCGUGCAUCACACAUGCAAGUGGAGCGACGAACCAGGGCUUGCCCUGGGGCAGAGCCGCGAACGGGUGAGUAACACGUGGGUUACCUGCCUCGAUGACCGGGACAACCCGAGGAAACUCGGGCUAAUACCGGAUGUGCCCGCAAGGGGGAAAGGAAGCUUCGGCCUCCGCAUCGAGAUGGGCCCGCGGCCCAUUAGCUUGUUGGUGAGGUAAUGGCUCACCAAGGCUUCGAUGGGUAGCUGGUCUGAGAGGACGAUCAGCCACACUGGGACUGAGACACGGCCCAGACUCCUACGGGAGGCAGCAGUGGGGAAUCUUGCGCAAUGCGCGAAAGCGUGACGCAGCAACGCCGCGUGGGGGAAGAAGGCUUUCGGGUUGUAAACCCCUUUCAGUUGGGACGAAGCUUCUCCGGUGAAUAGCCGGACGGAGUGACGGUACCUUCACAAGAAGCACCGGCUAACUACGCGCCAGCAGCCGCGGUAA
Molecule: ribosomal RNA, 498 nt
Filed under: uncultured bacterium
Lineage: Bacteria
Description: SSU rRNA
Rfam family: Bacterial small subunit ribosomal RNA
Source: RNAcentral